AGUGUUGCAAUGAAGAGAAGAGUACACGAUAGGAAUUGGCACAGAGAGUUCCCAUUUGGUGAAAGGGAAUGCAAGGGUCAUCGUGGAAGAUGGACUCCGAGCAGAUUGGUCGAACAGUUAGGCCAUCCGGGCGUGCCCGUUACAGCACUAUGGUAUUGAAGGCUCAUCUGCCUGCGUACCUGAAGAGGCUCAUCUUGUGAAGGAUGGGUGAAAUUGGGUGGUAUCACGGUGCUUCCGUCCCUUAC
Molecule: non-coding RNA, 245 nt
Filed under: Megasphaera elsdenii
Lineage: Bacteria; Bacillati; Bacillota; Negativicutes; Veillonellales; Veillonellaceae
Description: T-box sequence
Rfam family: T-box leader
About the family: Uncharged tRNA acts as the effector for transcription antitermination of genes in the T-box leader family. T-boxes are found upstream of many aminoacyl-tRNA synthetase genes and some amino acid biosynthetic genes usually in Gram-positive bacteria. The anticodon of a specific tRNA base pairs to a specifier sequence within the T-box motif, and the NCCA acceptor tail of the tRNA base pairs to a conserved bulge in the T-box antiterminator hairpin.
Source: RNAcentral